RNAcentral lists this ribosomal RNA (363 nucleotides) under Triticum aestivum (bread wheat). Its description in RNAcentral is "partial small subunit ribosomal RNA". Lineage: Eukaryota; Viridiplantae; Streptophyta; Magnoliopsida; Poales; Poaceae. The record is from RNAcentral.
AUGGUUCUCAAGAGAGAGCUCUGCCAUUUCAGUGGUGCCAAGAUACACCCGGGGAAUAGUAUCGGAUUCAUCCGUUCGAACUCGCAAGACUUCCUUUUGUCCAACACAAAAUGCAAGCGCUAUUUCCACAACCAUCCUAAUCCUGCUAAGCUUGCAUGGACGACCAUGUACUGGAAGCAGCAUAAGAACUUACUUGGUUCUGCACUAAACAGAAGGAAAUACGAUGAACCAUAUAUUUUAAUUUUCAAGGAAAUAGACCAUACGCCCAUAAAAAGAGUUAGAUCACAAUGUUUUGAGGCUCGGUCAUGGCGUCUGCAAGGAGGUGGCGGAUGGGGUUCGGUGACCGGACAAGGGCAAGGUUAG